CUACGGGUCGCUGCAGUGGGGAAUAUUGCACAAUGGGCGCAAGCCUGAUGCAGCCAUGCCGCGUGUAUGAAGAAGGCCUUCGGGUUGUAAAGUACUUUCAGCGGGGAGGAAGGGAGUAAAGUUAAUACCUUUGCUCAUUGACGUUACCCGCAGAAGAAGCACCGGCUAACUCCGUGCCAGCAGCCGCGGUAAUACGGAGGGUGCAAGCGUUAAUCGGAAUUACUGGGCGUAAAGCGCACGCAGGCGGUUUGUUAAGUCAGAUGUGAAAUCCCCGGGCUCAACCUGGGAACUGCAUCUGAUACUGGCGAGCUUGAGUCUCGUAGAGGGGGGUAGAAUGCCAGGUGUAGCGGUGAAAUGCGUAGAGAUCUGGAGGAAUACCGGUGGCGAAGGCGGCCCCCUGGACGAAGACUGACGCUCAGGUGCGAAAGCGUGGGGAGCAAACAGGAUUAGAUACCCCGGUAGUC
Molecule: ribosomal RNA, 464 nt
Filed under: uncultured bacterium
Lineage: Bacteria
Description: partial 16S ribosomal RNA
Rfam family: Bacterial small subunit ribosomal RNA
Source: RNAcentral